GAUGAACGCUAGCGGGAGGCCUAACACAUGCAAGUCGAACGGGAUUGGGAGCUUGCUCCCAUGAGAGUGGCGCACGGGUGAGUAACGCGUAUGCAACCUACCUUUAACUGAGGGAUAGCCCAUAGAAAUGUGGAUUAAUACCUCAUAGUUCUAUUAGAUCGCAUGAUUUGAUAGAUAAAGCUCCGGCGGUUAAAGAUGGGCAUGCGUGACAUUAGUUUGUUGGUGAGGUAACGGCUCACCAAGACUACGAUGUCUAGGGGUUCUGAGAGGAUGAUCCCCCACACUGGUACUGAGACACGGACCAGACUCCUACGGGAGGCAGCAGUGAGGAAUAUUGGUCAAUGGGCGCAAGCCUGAACCAGCCAUCCCGUGUGAAGGAUGAAGGCCCUAUGGGUCGUAAACUUCUUUUAUACACCAAGAAAAACACCCACGUGUGGGUGCCCGACGGUAGUGUAUGAAUAAGCAUCGGCUAACUCCGUGCCAGCAGCCGCGGUAAUACGGAGGAUGCAAGCGUUAUCCGGAUUCAUUGGGUUUAAAGGGUGCGUAGGCGGCUUUUUAAGUCAGUGGUGAAAUCUUGCCGCUUAACGGUAAAAUUGCCAUUGAUACUGAUAAGCUUGAGUACAAUUGAGGUAAGCGGAAUGUGUAGUGUAGCGGUGAAAUGCUUAGAUAUUACACAGAACACCGAUUGCGAAGGCAGCUUACUAAACUGUUACUGACGCUGAUGCACGAAAGCGUGGGGAGCGAACAGGAUUAGAUACCCUGGUAGUCCACGCCGUAAACGAUGAUCACUCGCUGUAUGCGAUACACAGUAUGCGGCCAAGCGAAAGCAUUAAGUGAUCCACCUGGGGAGUACGAUCGCAAGGUUG
Molecule: ribosomal RNA, 866 nt
Filed under: uncultured bacterium
Lineage: Bacteria
Description: bacterial SSU rRNA
Rfam family: Bacterial small subunit ribosomal RNA
Source: RNAcentral